GGACUACACGGGUUUCUAAUCCGUUUUGCUCCCCACGCUUUCAUGCCUCAAUGUCAGUAGCAGAAUAGUUAACUGCCUUCGCUAUAUUGAUGUUCUUUCAUAUAUCUACGCAUUUUACCGCUCCACAUAAAGUUCCGUUAACCUCUCCUGCACUCAAGUUCGACAGUAUUACCGACUUCCACGAGGUUGGGCCUCGAUUUCCCACCAGUAACUUAUCGAACCAUCUACGCAUCCUUUACGCCCAAUAAUUCCGGAUAACGUUCGUCACCUAUGUCUUACCGCGGCUGCUGGCAC
RNAcentral lists this ribosomal RNA (294 nucleotides) under uncultured bacterium. Its description in RNAcentral is "partial 16S ribosomal RNA". The record is from RNAcentral.